Molecule: ribosomal RNA, 200 nt
Filed under: uncultured bacterium
Lineage: Bacteria
Description: partial 16S ribosomal RNA
Rfam family: Bacterial small subunit ribosomal RNA
Source: RNAcentral
AACGAGCGCUGGCGGCAUGCCUAAUACAUGCAAGUCGAACGAGACCUUCGGGUCUAGUGGCGCACGGGUGCGUAACGCGUGGGAAUCUGCCCUUGGGUUCGGAAUAACAGUUGGAAACGACUGCUAAUACCGGAUGAUGACGAAAGUCCAAAGAUUUAUCGCCCAGGGAUGAGCCCGCGUAGGAUUAGCUAGUUGGUGAG